RNAcentral lists this ribosomal RNA (230 nucleotides) under uncultured bacterium. RNAcentral's name for it is "partial 16S ribosomal RNA". It matches the Rfam family "Bacterial small subunit ribosomal RNA", at positions 118 to 350 of the family's 1533-position model. The record is from RNAcentral.
UGGGCAACCUGCCCCUCUCUCUGGGAUAACCCCGGGAAAUCGGAGCUAAUACCGGAUACGAGACCGAGUGGCAUCACACGGUCUGGAAAGUUUUUCGGUUAGGGAUGGGGUCGCGGCCUAUCAGCUUGUUGGUGGGGUAAUGGCCUACCAAGGCGACGACGGGUAGCCGGCCUGAGAGGGCGACCGGCCACACUGGGACUGAGACAUGGCCCAGACUCCUACGGGAGGCA